GUCUGCAACUCGACUACAUGAAGCUGGAAUCGCUAGUAAUCGCGGAUCAGAAUGCCGCGGUGAAUACGUUCCCGGGUCUUGUACACACCGCCCGUCACACCAUGGGAGUUGACAACGCCCGAAGUCAGUGACCUAACCGAAAGGAAGGAGCUGCCGAAGGCGGGGUUGAUAACUGGGGUGAAGUCGUAACAAGGUACC
Molecule: ribosomal RNA, 198 nt
Filed under: uncultured bacterium
Lineage: Bacteria
Description: partial 16S ribosomal RNA
Rfam family: Bacterial small subunit ribosomal RNA
Source: RNAcentral